Molecule: RNA transcript, 3455 nt
Organism: Olea europaea var. sylvestris
Lineage: Eukaryota; Viridiplantae; Streptophyta; Magnoliopsida; Lamiales; Oleaceae
Gene name: cyclin-dependent kinase G-2-like
Exons: 9
Source: RefSeq, a predicted model, not a curated record
AACUUCCUUUUAUUGUGCGAAUAUCCCAACUUCCUUUUACCGUGUAUUCCUUCCUGGUUGCGACUCGGCCUUUCUUUUGCUGCGCCGCCUCAUACUAUUGAUCUUUCUUUUGGACCACCACCGCGGCUCCUUCACUUCUCUCUAUAUUCAUCUGAUUCUUUCCGACUGUUUCAUUUGUAAACCUCUCAACUGCUCACAAAUUACGCAAUAUACCGACUGGGAAGAAAAAUACCACACACCAUCAUUACUAGGGUUUCAUUAUUUAGGUUCGUUUAAAGAGUAAAUAGAGUGUGUGUUCGGAUUUUGUGUUCACUAGCAGAUCCAUAUUUUAUUUUUCUCGACUCAUUUCUGUUAUUUCGAAAAGGGUUUUCCAUUUUUUGAAGAAGUCGAAAUUUUAUUGGUUUUAUUUUUCCAGGAAAAACUUGAAUUUGGGCAUUCGAGGCUAGCAUUCUGUUUGCUAUACAGAUUUAUAAGCACUCACAAACUUCUCAGAGCAUGGCGGCUGGAAGACAUGGGAGCCAAAAAGACAAUGAGUUCAAGGGUCGCAAGAUGGACUUGGGGCUGCCAAAGAAGGAAGUUGGGAAUGUGAAAGGGGAUAAUGAUCGUUUUAGGAACGGAGACUGGGAUAAUUGGAAAAGUCGAAGUGGGGUUCGGGAUCGAGAUAGUAGGGAUCAUACAGGUAGGGUUAGACAGAAGGAUAUUAAGAUAAGGGAGGUGAUAAAUGGUGGGUAUCAUUCUAUUUCAAAUCAGAGUGAUUCUAGCAGUAGUGGUGGUGGGAGGAGGAGUGAAUUGGCAGUUCGGGUCAUGGAUCGAGAGCCUGGGGAGCUGUCUAGUGACGGGUCUGAUGGGGCUAGUGAUUUGGAAUCUCGGAUUAAUAUAGAGAGUGAGGUUAAGACGUCAGAAAAUGGAAAACAAUCAUUGCCUGUCCAGAAUAAGAAGCGGAAGUUUUCUCCAAUUGUUUGGGAUAGAGAUGACAGGGAAUUGAGUAGAGCAUUCGAGAAAAGGAAUGUUUCUGAUACUACUAAUUUACCUUUUUCACCUCCUGUGGUCAAUUCGAAUGUUCCGUCGUCUGUCCCUUCUCUGGAUGAGUCCGUACAAGUUUCACCUAAGCACAAAUGCGAGGUUCAGAAUUCCAAAGCAUCAUUUCCUGAGAUUGAUUUAGUGCCAGAGGUGUUGGAAGUUCCUGUUAAAACAUCUUCCUUGUCUCCCAACGAAGAGUGUCCUGGUGGUGACCAGGGAGCAGAGGAAUUUGACGCUGAAGAUUUUGAGUCUACUCGAACCAUUGUUUCCUCUCGUUGGGCAAAUAAUGCUGACUCCCCAGUUGAUGAAGGUGUGAUUCAUGAUAAUGGAGAUACGCCUAAAUGGAAGGUGCGGAGGUCUGGUACUGAGUCGGCUCUAGUAUGGGGGCAUAGGAAAUCAAGAAGUCCAGAGCUUGGAGAGGUUAAAGCCGAAGGAUCUAAAGGAACUAGGGGGAGGUCCUCUGGAUCUGAUGAGUGUGUUAGGUCUUCUAGUAGAGAUAGUUACCCUAACAACGUUGAUAAGAAUGACUACAUGGAGAUAGAUGAGGACCGAAAUUAUGGUGCUACUAGUGUUAGCCAGUCGGAUAUGGAAUCUGUGGAUGAACUAGGUUCUUGUGGUACACCAGAGACUGCACUCACCCCAGAAAGGAGUGUGAAUAUGCUUCGGGGGUGCAGAAGUGUUGAUGAGUUUGAGAGAUUGAACAAGAUAAAUGAAGGCACUUACGGGAUUGUUUAUAGAGCCAGGGACAAGAAGUCUGGAGAAAUUGUUGCUUUGAAGAAGGUCAAGAUGGAGAAAGAGAGAGAAGGGUUUCCUCUGACUUCACUUCGAGAAAUUAACAUCCUUCUCUCUUUUCAGCAUCCUUCAGCAGUGGAUGUCAAAGAAGUAGUUGUGGGUAGCAAUCUUGACAGCAUCUUCAUGGUCAUGGAGUAUAUGGAACAUGAUCUUAAGGGAUUGAUGGAGACAAUGAGACAGCCGUUUAGUCAAAGUGAAGUUAAAUGCCUUACGCUCCAGCUGUUAGAGGGUGUCAAAUAUCUUCAUGAUAAUUGGGUACUUCACCGAGAUCUGAAAACAUCUAAUUUACUUUUAAAUAAUCGAGGGGAGCUGAAAAUCUGCGAUUUUGGUCUGGCUCGGCAAUAUGGGAGCCCCCUGAAACCUUAUACUCAUUUGGUGGUUACUUUGUGGUACAGGGCGCCAGAACUUCUUCUGGGAGCCAAACAAUAUUCUACUGCAAUUGAUAUGUGGUCUGUGGGAUGCAUUAUGGCUGAACUGUUAUCAAAAGAGCCCUUGUUUAGUGGAAAAACAGAGUUUGAUCAGCUUGACAAGAUUUUCAGAAUCCUCGGCACACCAAAUGAGACAAUCUGGCCUGGGUUUUCUAGACUUCCUGGGGUGAAGGUUAACUUUGUCAAGAAUAAAUACAAUCAGUUGCGUAGGAAAUUUCCAGCUACUUCAUUUACUGGCUCACCAGUACUUUCUGAUGCUGGAUUUGACCUGUUGAACAAGCUUUUAACUUAUGAUCCUGAUAAGCGGAUAACUGCUGAAGCAGCUCUGAAGCAUGAAUGGUUCCAAGAAGUUCCACUUCCCAAGUCUAAGGAGUUCAUGCCAACAUUUCCGGCUCAGCACGUGCAAGACAGGCGUAUAAGAAGAGCAAUGAAGAGUCCUGAUCCUCUAAAAGAGCAACAGAGGAAGGAGUUGCAGCAAGAAGAAUUAGGCGCUGGUGAGAGCUAUGGAUCAAAGGGAGUUUCAAACAUUGUUUGCAAGACGAUCUUUUGUGCUGUUUUUAGCAGGCACCUUGAUGAAUGAGGUGGACUAACAAUUUGAUUCAGAUAUAGUGAAGGUUGACUUCUCUGGGCCUCUGCUUUUCCAUAGAAUCUGGCUUUGAUACCUCUUGUAUGGCAACGUGUGGCAUAGGAGUUUCACUUUAAACUUGUGUAACAUAUUUUAUAUUGAUUACAGCAAACAACUUUCUUAAAAUUACUUUUGAAUACUACCAAACAGUUUGAAUCAAAUUUAAUCCUUAUACUGUGUUUGCAAGCGACAGUGAUGUGAAGGGGAGAGGAGAUUCAUAGUUUUUCUUUGUUGAAGAAAUUGACAGAAAAUUGCACUCCAAAGUACCCAAGCAAACAGGUUGAGGAGCUCACUUGCACAACCUGGGAUGUAUAGAAAUUCCCAUAAUUUUCUUUUCUAUAUUCAUAUCUGUCUCAAGCUCAAGAGAGGUACAUUGCUACCUUUUGUUACAUUUUUCACUUUUUAUGGUUGAUUUGUUUCUUUAUCUAAUUUUUGUUUACUUUUUAUUGUCUAAAUUUGCUUUGAUGUCUCAUUCAGGGUCUUUUUGAUGUAGAUUUUGUGAGAAUAAAUUUUGUGAAAAUUGAGAUUUCUAGAAAUGUAAUAAAUGAGUUUGGGGAAAAAUAAAUUUUUAGGAAAGCUCAGUACCAUUA